Bombus pyrosoma is the source of this 2308-nucleotide long non-coding RNA. RefSeq lists it as uncharacterized. The transcript is spliced from 2 exons. The record is from RefSeq and is a predicted model, not a curated record. NCBI's taxonomy places the organism in Eukaryota, Metazoa, Arthropoda, Insecta, Hymenoptera, Apidae.
AGAUUCCUUUUAGACUAUUCAUCUUCGUUAGACUCUAUUGACUGUUAAGUUCACACGAACUUCUGUAACAUAGUACAUAGUAUUUUUUUUUUUACUCUUUAAUGAUACUCUUUGAUAGAUGAUAAUUCUUUGAUCGGUGGAAACUGGUCCAAAAGUUCGUUUUCAUUGAAAAUAAAAUUGUACGAUUAACGAUGUGACCCAGUGUAAGCUGGCCGAAUUAAGCUGUCACUUUGACACUUCAACGACCGUAAUCCGUACCAUGAGUGGUUCGUGUUAUCGAAGUGUGUUAUUCUAUUAAACUCGUUACGCGGCUAAAGCGAGACACCAGUUUGCUCGAGUUUGCGUUACUAUAUUCCGAGUAGUGCCUCUCGGACUGGUCACGAAAUUUGGGUUUUCCAAAAUCGGGACGAAGUUGGAAGAACCUGACCUGCCGAAGUUGACGUUCCUUUCUAUCGCAAUGAUUCUGCAGACGGAUAAGAGGUGGAGAAGAAAGGACGAGAAGGAAACGGAAGGAGAAGAAGUAAAUGGAGGGAAAGACAGGACGAAGAGGAGUUGAUGGAGAUAGGUAGAAAAGGAUAAGGAAGGAAAUAGGAGAAAAAGGAAAAGAUGAGAUGAAAUGGAAGGAAGAAGGUGAAGAAAAGUGGAGAAGAAAACAAGACAAAAGUGGAGGAAGAAACUGUGGAGGAAAAGGGAAGGAGAGUUUCUACGAAGAAAUGAAAUGAAAGAAACAACAGAAGAAAAAAGUAUUAAAUAAUAAAAGUAGAAAGUAAAGUAAGAAGAAAAGUAAAGUAAAGAUAAUAUUAUAUAUAAUUAAUUUCGGAAAAAAUAGUUUUGCAUUAAUUUGACUUUCAGUUACAGAAUCAUUCAUUAAGUAAUUAUAAGACGCACAGUAUAAAUCCUGUCUUUUCAUCGCUAUGGAUUCGUCAUAUUUGAUAUUAUGAAGUAUUAUACAUAUAUAUAUAUAUAUAUAUAUAUAUAUAUAUAUAUAUAUAUGUGUUUAAUCCUUUGUUGCGCGCAAAUUACGCGUGAACUUCAAAGUACAAGCGUGUGUACAGUUGUGUAGUUGACAGCUAAACGCGAUUGGAUCUCAAGGUGCAAACGGGCCACGUUUAAUUAGUUGAUGGUGUCGCUUCUUUGAUAACGCGUUGUUACUGGUACUCGUUCAAUUUUCUCCGUUACGCGUUUGCUUCCCCUUCGUCUUGAAUUUUUUUAGAGAAGAAGAAUAAAUCAACUUUUGCUACUGCUUUACGAAUUGUUUAACAACGAACUUUUUUCAUCAGGAAUAAAUUCUAUUUGAAUUUCUAUUGGAAUUAAUUUCUGUUACAAUUACAGAACAUUUUUCAAUUUUUAUGAAACUUAAUCUCUAACAUAAAUAGAGAAUACAUUUGAAAAUGAGAAAACAUAAUAUAUGUAUACAGGAGAAUAAAUUAACUCGUUAAAAUGAAGCCUCCAGGAAAUGGAAUAAUCGAUCAGGUGGAUAUAAUAAAAUCAUUUCAUGCGAUUGAAGAAACAGUCUUUAUUGAUUACAUUUAUCGAAUACAAUUUUAAUCAUCACAUAUGUGUAAUAAUUAUAACAACAUCCAUUGAUUGAUAAUUAAUAUUCAUCGGUUUGAGACGAUUUAUCGUAAGAGAAGAUCUGAAAUUUACAUAAAAACGAUACUUGAGACCCGAUGCACACAAGCGACGCGAUGUCACCAUGCGAUUCGGCACGUAACACAUACAUGUGCAUAUACCUAUCCUUAAUCGUGCAAUGCACAAGAGCGACAUCGCAUUGUCCAUCGGUGACAAUCGUACAACGACACCACAACGAUGUCGCAUCGCUCAUGUGCAUCAGCUGUAACUCUAGUUCAGCAACAUUUAACACUCAGGAAAUUGAAUAUGAUGUUCUAUCAAUUUUAUUGAUCCAAGAUAGACGAUUUGUUCUGAUUUAUUUUUAGUUUUUUGCAAAGAUAUUACUUCAUCACUUAAGAGAUUCUAUUACUGCUGUAUAUAAUCAUAUUUCGAACGGAAUAGUCUUCUCUUAAAGAGUCUAAAACGUUCACAAUAUGAAAAAUAUAUAUCUUUCUUCUUGCCUACUUUUUUCUUCUAAGGUUAGUACUCUUUGUAAAAUAUUUAAAAAACUAUACGAGUUAAUCCCUUCCACGAUUUUUGCAAUACUAAGAGAAAUUUUCGCCAAUAUAUUUGACUAUCAAAAUACGUAGUAUGAAAAUAUCUUUACAAUUUAAAAAGUUCAGAAAAUAUGAGAAAUAUUAUAAAACGUACAAUUAUAUCAUUAUGAAUGUAAAAUUAUAAUUAUAAAUAUUUCAGG